RNAcentral lists this ribosomal RNA (625 nucleotides) under uncultured Actinomycetes bacterium. RNAcentral's name for it is "bacterial SSU rRNA". It matches the Rfam family "Bacterial small subunit ribosomal RNA", at positions 72 to 713 of the family's 1533-position model. Lineage: Bacteria; Bacillati; Actinomycetota; Actinomycetes. The record is from RNAcentral.
GCUUGCUUCUGCUGGAUUAGUGGCGAACGGGUGAGUAACACGUGAGUAACCUGCCCUUGACUCUGGGAUAAGCGUUGGAAACGACGUCUAAUACCGGAUACGAGCUAGGACCGCAUGGUCACUAGUUGGAAAGAACUUUGGUCAAGGAUGGACUCGCGGCCUAUCAGCUAGUUGGUGAGGUAACGGCCCACCAAGGCGACGACGGGUAGCCGGCCUGAGAGGGUGACCGGCCACACUGGGACUGAGACACGGCCCAGACUCCUACGGGAGGCAGCAGUGGGGAAUAUUGCACAAUGGGCGAAAGCCUGAUGCAGCAACGCCGCGUGAGGGACGACGGNCUUCGGGUUGUAAACCUCUUUUAGCAGGGAAGAAGCGAAAGUGACGGUACCUGCAGAANAAGCCACCGGCUAACUACGUGCCAGCAGCCGCGGUAAUACGUAGGGUGCAAGCGUUGUCCGGAAUUAUUGGGCGUAAAAGAGCUCGUAGGCGGUUUGUCGCGUCUGCUGUGAAAAUCCGAGGCUCAACCUCGGACCUGCAGUGGGUACGGGCAAACUAGAGUGCGGUAGGGGAGAUUGGAAUUCCUGGUGUAGCGGUGGAAUGCGCAGAUAUCAGGAGGAACACCAAU